GAUGAACGCUGGCGGCGUGCUUAACACAUGCAAGUCGAACGGAAAGGCUCCUGCUUGCAGGGGUACUCGAGUGGCGAACGGGUGAGUAACACGUGGGUGAUCUGCCCUGCACUUCGGGAUAAGCCUGGGAAACUGGGUCUAAUACCGGAUAGGACGAUGGUUUGGAUGCCAUUGUGGAAAGUUUUUUCGGUGUGGGAUGAGCUCGCGGCCUAUCAGCUUGUUGGUGGGGUAAUGGCCUACCAAGGCGUCGACGGGUAGCCGGCCUGAGAGGGUGUACGGCCACAUUGGGACUGAGGUACGGACCAGACUCCUACGGGAGGCAGCAGUGGGGAAUAUUGCACAAUGGGCGCAAGCCUGAUGCAGCGACGCCGCGUGGGGGAUGACGGCCUUCGGGUUGUAAACUCCUUUCGCUAGGGACGAAGCGCAAGUGACGGUACCUGGAGAAGAAGCACCGGCUAACUACGUG
This 466-nucleotide ribosomal RNA is filed under the name uncultured bacterium. RNAcentral's name for it is "partial 16S ribosomal RNA". It matches the Rfam family "Bacterial small subunit ribosomal RNA", at positions 28 to 507 of the family's 1533-position model. The record is from RNAcentral.